RNAcentral lists this ribosomal RNA (403 nucleotides) under uncultured bacterium. RNAcentral describes it as "partial 16S ribosomal RNA". It matches the Rfam family "Bacterial small subunit ribosomal RNA", at positions 30 to 526 of the family's 1533-position model. The record is from RNAcentral.
AUUGAACGCUGGCGGCAGGCCUACUACAUGCAAGUCGAGCGGGCGGCGGACGGGUGAGUAAUGUAUGGGGACUGCCCGAUAGAGGGGGAUAACUACUGGAAACGGUGGCUAAUACCGCAUACUAUCGGAUAACCCAUAUGGGAUUAGCUAGUAGGUGGGGUAAAGGCUCCACUAGGCGACGAUCUCUAGCUGGUCUGAGAGGAUGAUCAGCAACACUGGGAAUGAGACACGGCCCAGAAUCCGACGGAGGCAGCAGUGGGGAAAAUUGCACAAUGGGCGAAAGCCUGAUGCAGCCAUGCCGCGUGUAUGAAGAAGGCCUUAGGGUUGUAAAGUACUUUCAGCGGAGAGGCGUUACCCGCAGAAGAAGCACCGACUAACUCCGUGCCAGCCGCCGGGGUAAUAC